Molecule: long non-coding RNA, 735 nt
Organism: Oncorhynchus tshawytscha (Chinook salmon)
Lineage: Eukaryota; Metazoa; Chordata; Actinopteri; Salmoniformes; Salmonidae
Source: Ensembl
AUCGAAUGCAAAGGCACAGGUUCGUGGCUGAAUGACUACAUUGACAAUAUACAGUUGGCGUGCAUCUGCAAGACAGAACAACUACCACCGGCCCAUCCCUCCCCCCGUAUCAUCGAGGGCCAGCAAGCAUACACGGUGACACGCCUACUGAGGGUUCGACCACGGGGCAGGGGUUUCCAGUACCUGGUUGACUGGGAGGGUUAUGGCCCGGAGGAGAGGUGCUGGGUUCCCGCUAAAGACAUCUUGGACCCGGCCCUCAUCGCCGACUUUCACCGCUGCCAGCCCAGUCAACCAGGUAUCCUCCCAGGUGGAACGCAAGGUGGCGUCCCUAGAGGGGGGGUACUGUCACACCCUGAUGUUUCACCUGUCCUUGUGCUUGUCUCCACCCCCCUCCAGGUGUCGCCCAUCUUCCCCAUUAUCUCCUAUUUAUACCUGUGUUCUGUCUGUUUGUUGCCUGUUCGUCUUGUUCGUUCAAGCUUACCAGUGUUUUUCCUGUCCAGCUCCUUUCGUUUCCCAGCCUCUCUUUCCUCGUCCUCCUGGUUUUUGACCUUUUGCCUGUCCUGACCCUGUACCCGCCCGCCUGACCUCUCUGCCUGCCUGCCGUUCUGUACCUUUGCUCCACCUCUGGAUUACUGAACUCUGUCUGUCCCUGACCCUGAGUCCGCCUGCCGUUCUUUACCUUUGCUUACCCUGGAUUUUCAACCCCUGCCUGUCUUGACCUGUCUUUGCCUGCCC